CGUGGGGGCGUGCCUAAUACAUGCAAGUCGAACGAACUCUGGUAUUGAUUGGUGCUUGCAUCAUGAUUUACAUUUGAGUGAGUGGCGAACUGGUGAGUAACACGUGGGAAACCUGCCCAGAAGCGGGGGAUAACACCUGGAAACAGAUGCUAAUACCGCAUAACAACUUGGACCGCAUGGUCCGAGUUUGAAAGAUGGCUUCGGCUAUCACUUUUGGAUGGUCCCGCGGCGUAUUAGCUAGAUGGUGGGGUAACGGCUCACCAUGGCAAUGAUACGUAGCCGACCUGAGAGGGUAAUCGGCCACAUUGGGACUGAGACACGGCCCAAACUCCUACGGGAGGCAGCAGUAGGGAAUCUUCCACAAUGGACGAAAGUCUGAUGGAGCAACGCCGCGUGAGUGAAGAAGGGUUUCGGCUCGUAAAACUCUGUUGUUAAAGAAGAACAUAUCUGAGAGUAACUGUUCAGGUAUUGACGGUAUUUAACCAGAAAGCCACGGCUAACUACGUGCCAGCAGCCGCGGUAAUACGUAGGUGGCAAGCGUUGUCCGGAUUUAUUGGGCGUAAAGCGAGCGCAGGCGGUUUUUUAAGUCUGAUGUGAAAGCCUUCGGCUCAACCGAAGAAGUGCAUCGGAAACUGGGAAACUUGAGUGCAGAAGAGGACAGUGGAACUCCAUGUGUAGCGGUGAAAUGCGUAGAUAUAUGGAAGAACACCAGUGGCGAAGGCGGCUGUCUGGUCUGUAACUGACGCUGAGGCUCGAAAGUAUGGGUAGCAAACAGGAUUAGAUACCCUGGUAGUCCAUACCGUAAACGAUGAAUGCUAAGUGUUGGAGGGUUUCCGCCCUUCAGUGCUGCAGCUAACGCAUUAAGCAUUCCGCCUGGGGAGUACGGCCGCAAGGCUGAAACUCAAAGGAAUUGACGGGGGCCCGCACAAGCGGUGGAGCAUGUGGUUUAAUUCGAAGCUACGCGAAGAACCUUACCAGGUCUUGACAUACUAUGCAAAUCUAAGAGAUUAGACGUUCCCUUCGGGGACAUGGAUACAGGUGGUGCAUGGUUGUCGUCAGCUCGUGUCGUGAGAUGUUGGGUUAAGUCCCGCAACGAGCGCAACCCUUAUUAUCAGUUGCCAGCAUUAAGUUGGGCACUCUGGUGAGACUGCCGGUGACAAACCGGAGGAAGGUGGGGAUGACGUCAAAUCAUCAUGCCCCUUAUGACCUGGGCUACACACGUGCUACAAUGGAUGGUACAACGAGUUGCGAACUCGCGAGAGUAAGCUAAUCUCUUAAAGCCAUUCUCAGUUCGGAUUGUAGGCUGCAACUCGCCUACAUGAAGUCGGAAUCGCUAGUAAUCGCGGAUCAGCAUGCCGCGGUGAAUACGUUCCCGGGCCUUGUACACACCGCCCGUCACACCAUGAGAGUUUGUAACACCCAAAGUCGGUGGGGUAACCUUUUAGGAACCAGCCGCCUAAGGGGACAAAU
This 1470-nucleotide ribosomal RNA is filed under the name Lactiplantibacillus plantarum. Its description in RNAcentral is "bacterial SSU rRNA". It matches the Rfam family "Bacterial small subunit ribosomal RNA". The record is from RNAcentral. Lineage: Bacteria; Bacillati; Bacillota; Bacilli; Lactobacillales; Lactobacillaceae.